Molecule: ribosomal RNA, 253 nt
Filed under: uncultured bacterium
Lineage: Bacteria
Description: partial 16S ribosomal RNA
Rfam family: Bacterial small subunit ribosomal RNA
Source: RNAcentral
UACGAAGGGGGCUAGCGUUGCUCGGAAUCACUGGGCGUAAAGCGCACGUAGGCGGGUCCUUAAGUCAGGGGUGAAAUCCCGGAGCUCAACUCCGGAACUGCCUUUGAUACUGGGGAUCUUGAGUCCGGAAGAGGUGAGUGGAACUCCGAGUGUAGAGGUGAAAUUCGUAGAUAUCGAGAGGAACACCGGCGGCGAAAGCGGCUACCUGGACGAGGACUGACGCUGAGAUGCGAAAGCGUGGGGAGCAAACAGG